Molecule: ribosomal RNA, 497 nt
Filed under: uncultured bacterium
Lineage: Bacteria
Description: partial 16S ribosomal RNA
Rfam family: Bacterial small subunit ribosomal RNA
Source: RNAcentral
ACUCAAAGGAAUUGACGGGGGCCCGCACAAGCGGCGGAGCAUGCUGAUUAAUUCGAUGCAACGCGAAGAACCUUACCAAGGCUUGACAUACACCGGAAACUUCCAGAAAUGGUUGCCCCGUAAGGUCGGUGUACAGGUGGUGCAUGGUUGUCGUCAGCUCGUGUCGUGAGAUGUUGGGUUAAGUCCCGCAACGAGCGCAACCCUCGUCUUAUGUUGCCAGCACGUUAUGGUGGGGACUCAUAAGAGACUGCCGGGGUCAACUCGGAGGAAGGUGGGGAUGAGGUCAAAUCAUCAUGCCCCUUAUGUCUUGGGCUUCAAGCAUGCUACAAUGGCCGGUACAAAGGGCUGCGAUACCGCGAGGUGGAGCGAAUCCCAAAAAGCCGGUCUCAGUUCGGAUUGGGGUCUGCAACUCGACCCCAUGAAGUCGGAGUCGCUAGUAAUCGCAGAUCAGCAACGCUGCGGUGAAUACGUUCCCGGGCCUUGCACACACCGCCCGU